GAUGAACGCUGGCGGCGUGCCUAAUACAUGCAAGUCGAGCGAACAGACGAGGAGCUUGCUCCUCUGACGUUAGCGGCGGACGGGUGAGUAACACGUGGAUAACCUACCUAUAAGACUGGGAUAACUUCGGGAAACCGGAGCUAAUACCGGAUAAUAUAUUGAACCGCAUGGUUCAAUAGUGAAAGACGGUUUUGCUGUCACUUAUAGAUGGAUCCGCGCCGCAUUAGCUAGUUGGUAAGGUAACGGCUUACCAAGGCAACGAUGCGUAGCCGACCUGAGAGGGUGAUCGGCCACACUGGAACUGAGACACGGUCCAGACUCCGACGGGAGGCAGCAGUAGGGAAUCUUCCGCAAUGGGCGAAAGCCUGACGGAGCAACGCCGCGUGAGUGAUGAAGGUCUUCGGAUCGUAAAACUCUGUUAUUAGGGAAGAACAAAUGUGUAAGUAACGAUGCACGUCUGGACGGUACCUAAGCAGAAAACCACGGCUAACUACGU
Molecule: ribosomal RNA, 496 nt
Filed under: uncultured bacterium
Lineage: Bacteria
Description: partial 16S ribosomal RNA
Rfam family: Bacterial small subunit ribosomal RNA
Source: RNAcentral